This 190-nucleotide ribosomal RNA is filed under the name Metarhizium cylindrosporum. Its description in RNAcentral is "partial 28S ribosomal RNA D2 region". Lineage: Eukaryota; Fungi; Ascomycota; Sordariomycetes; Hypocreales; Clavicipitaceae. The record is from RNAcentral.
UGGACCCGGUGAAUCAUCCAGCGUUCUCGCUGGUGCACUUUGCCGGGCUCAGGCCAGCAUCAGUUUGCCUUGGGGGAUAAAGGCUUUGGGAAUGUGGCUCCCUCGGGAGUGUUAUAGCCCAUUGCACAAUACCCUGGGGCGGACUGAGGUUCGCGCAUCUGCAAGGAUGCUGGCGUAAUGGUCAUCAGCG